GUCCCUCAAAGGAUAGAAACUUCCUUUUCCAAGAGGCUAACUUGAGCUUAAACUUGUCAAUUACAGGUUUCCAAGUGGCUAGUCUUCUGGGGCUUGUCCCUAAUGGCAACCCAAGGUCUUGCAGGCUCAUUACUACUAACAUAACCAUGUCAAGAAGGUCCUCUCGACGUUUUGCAGAUGUUGGGAAUAUUCCAUUUAUGGGCUCCCUCCAACCCAAAACUCACUCCUCACCUUUAUUAUCAAUUGGACUUGUGGUUGUGGUAAAUCUCAGUUCCAUCGCUAUAUUACCAAAUCAGUACAUUAACAACUGGAAUUUCUCUUGGAUGAGCAAAUAUGCUCGGGUGCAUUUCUCAUAAUCUGGUAUCUGUACAGUGGCUCAGGUCUGCAUUUUGUUUGUCAACUUGAAUACUCAUUUCUAGAAAUGAGCUAAAACAUCUACAUUCUAACCUUUUGGCUUUUGUGUGGUUGGUGGAUCUAGCAGUGCUAUAGAGGCUGUAAGUAAACUUGAAGGUAAAUAGUUGUGAUCUCUUGUUGAAGCCCUUGCUCUCUUGUUUCUAAUAGGACUAAUACAAUUUAGUGAAUUGGACAUGACUAGUACGUAAAGUAUUUUAUGUGGAUGCAUAACCUAAAGCUUUAUCAUUUGAUCCUUUAUUAUUGGAGGCUUGUAGAGUUUCAUUGGAAAUAUUUAUUUAUGAUAGCAUCCUUAUAUCAAAUGGAAUAAGUAAUUUUGGGGAAAUUUCUAAUUAUGAGGAUGCACACCAAGUAAAAUAUUUACAUAGUUUGCCAUCACCC
This is a non-coding RNA of Camellia sinensis, 792 nucleotides long. NCBI's taxonomy places the organism in Eukaryota, Viridiplantae, Streptophyta, Magnoliopsida, Ericales, Theaceae. The record is from RefSeq and is a predicted model, not a curated record.